GACACGAUGGCUUAAUUGGCAAAACAACUGGAAUGCGACAUUUCAUAUGUUGUAGGUUCGAUUCCUACUCGUGUAG
Transfer RNA from Danaus plexippus plexippus, 76 nucleotides. It matches the Rfam family "tRNA". From Rfam's summary of the family: Transfer RNA (tRNA) molecules are approximately 80 nucleotides in length. Their secondary structure includes four short double-helical elements and three loops (D, anti-codon, and T loops). The record is from Rfam. NCBI's taxonomy places the organism in Eukaryota, Metazoa, Arthropoda, Insecta, Lepidoptera, Nymphalidae.